GGGAAACUUCAGCUAAUACCGAAUACGUCCUAACGGAGAAAGAUUUAUCGUCGAUAGAUUAGCCCGCGUUCGAUUAGCUAGUUGGUGGGGUAACGGCCCACCAAGGCGACGAUCGAUAGCUGUUCUGAGAGGAAGAUCAGCCACACGUGGGACUGAGACACCGGCCCAGACUCCGUACGGGGAGGCAGCAGGUUGGGAAUUCUUGGAACAAUGGGGGAAACCCUGAUCCAGCCAUGCCGCGUGAGUGAUGAAGGCCUUCGGGUUGUAAAACUCUUUCGCGCACGACGAUAAUGACGGUAGUGCGAGAAGAAGCUCCGGCUAACUUCGUG
RNAcentral lists this ribosomal RNA (329 nucleotides) under uncultured bacterium. Its description in RNAcentral is "bacterial SSU rRNA". It matches the Rfam family "Bacterial small subunit ribosomal RNA", at positions 151 to 507 of the family's 1533-position model. The record is from RNAcentral.